This 879-nucleotide ribosomal RNA is filed under the name uncultured bacterium. RNAcentral's name for it is "bacterial SSU rRNA". It matches the Rfam family "Bacterial small subunit ribosomal RNA", at positions 8 to 916 of the family's 1533-position model. The record is from RNAcentral.
AGAGUUUGAUCAUGGCUCAGGAUGAACGCUGGCGGCGUGCCUAACACAUGCAAGUCGAGCGAUCUUCUUCGGAAGAGAGCGGCGGACGGGUGAGUAACGCGUGGGUAACCUGCCUCAUACACAUGGAUAACAUACCGAAAGGUAUGCUAAUACAAGAUGAUAUAAGAGAUUCGCAUGGAUUUCUUAUCAAAGCUCCGGCGGUAUGAGAUGGACCCGCGUCUGAUUAGCUAGUCGGUAAGGUAACGGCUUACCAAGGCGACGAUCAGUAGCCGACCUGAGAGGGUGAUCGGCCACAUUGGAACUGAGACACGGUCCAAACUCCUACGGGAGGCAGCAGUGGGGAAUAUUGCACAAUGGGCGAAAGCCUGAUGCAGCAACGCCGCGUGAGCGAUGAAGGCCUUCGGGUCGUAAAGCUCUGUCCUCAAGGAAGAUAAUGACGGUACUUGAGGAGGAAGCCCCGGCUAACUACGUGCCAGCAGCCGCGGUAAUACGUAGGGGGCUAGCGUUAUCCGGAUUUACUGGGCGUAAAGGGUGCGUAGGUGGUUUCUUAAGUCAGGAGUGAAAGGCUACGGCUCAACCGUAGUAAGCUCUUGAAACUGGGAAACUUGAGUGCAGGAGAGGAAAGUGGAAUUCCUAGUGUAGCGGUGAAAUGCGUAGAUAUUAGGAGGAACACCAGUAGCGAAGGCGGCUUUCUGGACUGUAACUGACACUGAGGCACGAAAGCGUGGGGAGCAAACAGGAUUAGAUACCCUGGUAGUCCACGCCGUAAACGAUGAGUACUAGGUGUCUGGGGUUACCCCCCUCGGUGCCGCAGCUAACGCAUUAAGUACUCCGCCUGGGGAGUACGCUCGCAAGAGUGAAACUCAAAGGAAUUGACGG